RNAcentral lists this long non-coding RNA (9445 nucleotides) under Carica papaya (papaya). RNAcentral describes it as "long non-coding RNA (CPAP_LNC008357)". The record is from RNAcentral. Lineage: Eukaryota; Viridiplantae; Streptophyta; Magnoliopsida; Brassicales; Caricaceae.
UCAAAACCUCACAGCAAGUUCAGCAACCGAUCGCAACAGACUGAUGGUUACAACGGCUUCAUCUACAUUUCUGAAAUGGGGUAUUAAUGUCAAAAGGUCAGUGAUAUCACCAUAGUACUCGAGCUGAUUUCCAUCUUACACCAUUCAUUUCCCGUUUCUCUUCACCUUUUUGAAGCUUUUUGUAGCAUGAGCUAAAAGCAACAAAACAAGGUGAUAAAACCACUACAGCAAAGCUGUCAUCAAUGCCACUUUAAUCAUGUCUUAGUAAAUUUGUAGCAAUUACUUGUAACAGACGAGAUGAGGCCAAAAAUUAAGAUAAUCAGGCCAGUAAUAUGUUCUGGCGUGUCAAUUCCCACCUGCAAGGAAAAAGAUUCCUUAGCUAUAAUGAGAUGCAACUAUAAGACUGCUAGAAACUAAAGGCAAGUAACAGUUCACCAAAUGUUUACUACCACUUCACAUUCUUUUAAAACAUGAAAAAACAAUUGCAAAAAGUGUGAAGAUAGUUAAAUGUGUAUUUUAUUGAAUAUUAAACCCUAUAUAUCCAAGUUUUUUAAAAUAGAAAAAAUAAACCAUUAAUUAUAUUAAUUAUAUAUGGUAUGUUUUACUCUAAUGCUCUUUAACCUAAUGACAAACUCUCUUUAACACUCCCCCUCAAAUUGAUAGAUAAAUAUUGUUCAUCCUCAGCUUGCUAAUAAUAGUGCGCAUGUUAGAUUGUUUGACUUUUAAUCAACACAUUUGCAAGCUAAGAGCUAGUCGGCAUAUACAGGUACAUUCGCCGUCUAUUUUUUCUUUGAUGAAAUGUUUGCCAACUUCAAUAUAUUUGGCUCCAUCAUGUUGCACCCGGUUAUGGGCAAUGCUUACGGCCAAUUUAUUUUCACAGUAUACGUACAUGAAGUUGUUCUCAUGCGAUUUUUAGAUCUUCUAAAAUUCUCUUUAACUAUAGUAAUUCACAUACUCUUUGAGCUAUUGCUUGAAAUUCUAAUUUUGCAAUCAACCUUACAACUACAUUUUGCUUCUUACUCCUCCACAUAUCCACGUUACUCCUAAAGAAGAUACAAUAACUCGUAAUAGGUCUUCUAUCCACCAUUGAUUCUAUGUAGUCUACAUCCGUAUAGACUUCUAUGAGUAAUUUGUCAUUCUUUCUAAAUAUUAUCAUCUCUCAUAUGACCAUUUUAGGUAAUGCAACACUCUAUAGGUUGUCUGUAAGUAUACUUCUUUAUGGUUGUGCAUGAACUGACUUAUGACACUUAAUUCCGUAGGUUAUUUCAAAAAUAAAAUACUUAAUGGCGUAGGUGAUAUCAGAUCUUGUAUGUAACAAGUAUAUCAGUCUCCCAACUAAUCUCUAACACAUUUUCUUAUCUCCUAACUUAUCAUCUUCUAUCUGUCCUAGUUUAUGAUUGAAAUCUUUAGGAGUACUAACUGACUUACAUGCUAGUUUGUUUAUACCUCUUAAUAAGUCAUGAAAGUAUUUCUGGGAGAUAAAGAUCCUUAUUUUAAGCGGGCGACUUCAACUCUCAGAAAGUACUUUCAAUUACCUAAUUUCUUGAUUUUGAAUUCUCUAAUUAAACAUCACUUAAACGUCAAUUUACCUUUUUCAUCAUUCCUUUGUUAUAAUAAUAUCAUUAACAGUUACUAAGAGCGCGAUAAAUCCCCUUAUCUCAAAAUUCUUGAUAAAUAAAGUGCGGUCUCCUUGAGUUGCUUGUCUCCCAAGCCUGUCAUUGCCCUUGAAAAUCUACAAAACUAUGUUCUAGGCGAUUGUUUAAAUACAUAAAAUGUCUUCUUCAAUUCACAAACUUUAUACGGUCCUACCCUCUGUUAUAGUUGCUAAUCAAAAUAAGUAGCUAAAGAUAGCAAGAUCCACACCGUGUUCAUGUGGCAGUAAGUAUAGUUCUUGAGAACAUAUGUAGCAGUAAGAACGUUUCACCUUAAUAUUGUUUUGGGAUAUGAUUUUAAAAUAUAAAAACUCUAUCGGUCAACAAGAAGGUAACAAUUCUGACGUUCCGCCACUUUGUUCUAUUGUGGAGUGUAGAAGUAUGACCAUUCAUGGAUAAUCUCCUUUUAGUGGAAAAAUGAGGAGAUUGUGUGAUUAGAAAAGUAUUUUACAUUAUAAGUGUGAAAUCAUUUUAUAUGAAUUCUAAAUUGGGUUUUUACCAUUUUGCAAAAAUGGGGCAUUAUGUGGCUACCAUCUGAUUUGGAUUUUGAGUACAAAAAUCUAUGUAAUAUUAGUGCAAUCACCAAUAAACUACACAAACAAUCGAGCCCAAGAAAUAUUGAGAAUAUGAGAUAACUUCCAAAUAUCACUAUGGAUUAAAGAAAAUGGAAUCAUACUUCUUUUAUUGUUGUUAGAAAAUUGCACAUGCUUAUGUUUGGCUAACUCACAUAAAUCGCUACGUGAAUUCCCAUAUCAAAAUUUUUAAAUAACAGAGAAAACAUAACAUUUGAAAUGAAAAAGAAUGGAUGGCCAAGAAAUUUAUGGUAGAGCCAGAACUUGUGUGGUUAGGGUUGGUGGAAAUAGCAAAAAGAGUUCACCAUAUGUAUCAAAGUAAUAUAAUCUGUUUCUAAUCUCAGUACGUCCAAUCAUUUACCCGAGUUCUAAUGAAGUUAGAAAGAGAAAAAAAGAAUGUUACCUUGCAAUUCAAAUUUUGUGAUAAUUUGAUGGCUAACACAAGAUUUGUACAUAGUUUAAGAACAUGCAACACAUUUUUAAGAACAGGUAGGACUCAGCUUGAUGUGGUCCUUCCUAGCAAUGUGCCUAGAGAAUCAUCCAUCGUGAUUAUUGUCCUACUACUGGGGCAUGACACAUACAUAUAAAAGUAUUUAAAAGUAUUUGUCACAUUAUCAGUGGCCCUGAAUCUACUAUCUAUGAGUUUCUAAACGGUCGAUAUAAUACAUUAAAACCAUGCAAGAAAAAAGAUAUGUCUGAGUGUUUCAUCUAACCUGUACCUGUGGAUUUCUAAAGAUCUUCUAAUCUGCUUUACAAUCAUUUUAUCUCAGCCUUAAAUUCCCUGAGAUCACUAAUUUGGUCUUCCCCCUUCUGAUGGGCCAUAUAGGCUAUCUAUGAGACUUUUGUAGAGUGCUCUGUAACAACAAUCCUUGCUUGAGGUAUUGAGUUUGUCAUGGAGUUCCAAACAUUUAGUUUUGGUGGCUGACAUUUUGCAAAAAGUACACCAAAUAUUAUUCCUAUUAUUGACAAUGAGCUUGAAAUUUCCUGCUUGGCUUAGCUCCUUUAUCUGUUGGCAUGGGUUGGGGCCUUUGGAGAUUAGUGUUGAGCUGGUGGUUGACCUAAAUUCUAAUAUGAUCUCUCCUACUCUCUUCUGCUAAUACAAUAGUAAUUGCCUCAUUUCGUAAUGAUAUUUCGUCUUUACUUAAGAUUUGAAUCCGUACUUGAUCAAACUCCUGUUUGAGACUUGCCAAAAACUUAUAAGCCCGAUAUUUAUCCACAAACUAUUUUAGGCAGGCUGCAUUCUUACUGCAGCCUAUUGUGAGACCCCAAUACAGACCCAAUUAUUGUCACCAACCUUUCAACAUGUUAGAACAUUUAAUGACUAACCUGCUUUCUUACUUUAUGCACUAUAUCUUAACAUUCAAGUCAUAAAUUUGAACUGCAUCUUUGAUUUUAGAAUUGAUUUCCCUAAUUGCAUCCCCUCCUCCUUUGGUGGUAGACAAUAACAAAACUGUUUUACUUAUCUCUUGCUACAUAGAGUCCUGAAGCGCGCUUCCUCAUCCCAUGCGUCAAAGAUGGGAUCCCUUGAUUUUGGUCCAGCGGCUAAGCUUUUCUUUUCUCUUGAGAGAGAUCCAAAUCAAUUGCAACCAACUCAAGGGUCCUUCCUAGUAAAGCAAUAAGCAGCCUAGAUUGGCUGAAAUUCGGUGUUGUAUUGGGUAAGGUUUCCCAUGUGAGAAUUUAUUCAUGUACUUUGGAUGUAAUCUCCAACAUAUUUAAGAGUUGUACGACAAUUAAGGCUAAAAGGUCACGGGAAAAAUGUUACCAGUAAACAAAGCAGUUGUGUCUUGGACAGAAGCACCACCUAGAGCGAUUGAGCAGGACAGAACCUGGACAGGACUUAGACGCGCAUAGCAGGAUUAGUCAUGUGUUGGUCUGUAAUAAUUGAAAAAAAAAAAAAAAAGAGGAAAAGGGGAGGGAAACGAUGCCGUUUUAAAGAGGAGAAAACAACGUCGUUUUGCAGAUGGGAGAAAACGACGUCCUUUUGAAAAAGAAAAAACGACAUCGUUAUGCAAGGGGGAAUACGACGCCGUUUUGAGGAAACUGGUGGGAUAUAAAUAGGGGGCGGGGAAGGAAGGAAAAAAAAAGGAAAGAAAAAGAAAAAAAAGGACAAAGAACAGAGGAAGAAGGGGGCAGGAAAGAGAAAGAGGAGAGGAAGGAAGGUUCCAGAAGGAGAGAGAAGGGAAGUGGAGCGAAGAGAAGAGGAGACCGCGGAAGGUGAUAGCGCGAUCGACAGGAAGAAGGAAGAAGGAAGAUGGAAAUGGGAGGUACGGUAAUAUAUUUCAAAUACGUGUGUUGAUUUGAGAUUUGAAAUGUGGAUGAGAAAUUUGAAGGUGUGGUGUGUGUUUGUGAAUACUUACGGAGGUGGCAGUGUACGGAGGAGGCGGUGUAGGGUAAGUGUGGGCGAUAAGGCGUGUGGAAGGAAGUUGGCCGCGUGAGAACCGCGGGAGGAGAGAGAAAGAAGGUGACGGUGCGGGGGAGGUCCGAGAGAGAUGGAGGAGUGUGGAGUGAGUGGAGGCCAGGAGAGAGAGAGGUUGGCAGUGCGAGUGGAAUCCGAGAGAGAGGUAAGGGUGGGGAGUGAGUGGAGGCCGAGAGAGAGAGAGAGGUUGGCGGUGUGAGUGGAGUCCGAGAGUGAGGUAAGGAUGUGGAGUGAGUGGAGGCCGGGAGAGAGAGAAGGGUUGGCGGUGUGAGUGGAGGCCGAGAGAGAAGUAGGGGUGUGGAGUGAGUGGAGGCCGAGAGAGAGAAAGAUGUGCGAUGUUAGUGAGUGGUGUGAGAGGGAGCUGGAUUGUGUGAGCGACGCGGGAGGAGAGAGAAAGAUGUAGUGGCUAUGAGGACGAAGUCCGAGAGAGAGGUAGGGAGGUGAAGUGAGUGAAAGCCGGGGGAGGGAAGGAUCCGCGGCGGGAGUGAGGUACAUGAGGGAGUGGAGUGGGAUUGCUGGAGCCUUGGGGUGUAGGCAGUGUAAGUAGAGUCCGUGGCGGCAGGGGAAAGACGGCGUGAGUGGGGACUCCUAGAGUAUGUCGUAGGUAGGGGGCAAAGAGGAGCAGUGGGAGAGAAUGAUCAGCGUGUGUGUGCGUGGCCCGUUAGGGGUCGGUAGGGGGACGAUGGUUGCCGAGGUUGGUGACGAAAGUGAAUGAAACUGGUAUGCGUGCGUGGCCUGGUAGAGGUCGAGAGGUAGCUGAUGGUCGCCGAUGUUGGUGACGGGAGAGAAUGAUCAGAGUGUGUGUGUGUGGCCUGGUAGGGGUCGAUAGGUGGUUAAUGGUCGCCGAUGUUGGUGACGGGAGAGAAUGAUCGGAGUGUGUGUGUGGCCCGAUAGGGGUCGGUAAGUGGAUGAUGGUCGCCGAUGUUGGUACGAAAGUGAAUGAAAAUAGUGUGCGUGCGUAGCCCAGUGGGGGUCGAGAGGUGGUUAAUGGUCGCUGAUGUUGGUGACGGGAGAGAAUGAUCGGAGUGUGUGCAUGUGGCCCGAUAGGGGUCGGUAGGUGGAUGAUGGUCGCCGAUGUUGGUGACAAAAGUGAAUGAAAAUAGUGUGCAUGCGUGGCCCAAUGGGGGUCGAUAAGUGGUUAAUGGUCGUCGAUCUUGGUGGUGGGGGGCAUCACUGGCACGCCUGGGGUGGCGUUGGGGGACGGAAACCAAGGGUAUGUAGGACUGUGGGAUACCGGGGGGGGUACUUGGGUUAAGUAGUGAACCGGUGGUAGAGGCAUGGGGUUUUAUAUUGUUGCAUCUCACACCUGUGUUUUGAUAUUUACUGUACUGUGUUAGAUGAACUCACUCUUUACUCUUUACAGAUGAUGUAGGAACAGAGUCCGGAUCGAAGUUGCUGGCGUCCGAACCUAGUGUGUAAAAUAACAGGAUAAAGAUUUUCGUUUCUUUUGGCAGAAUAGAAUGUGUAACAAUUGAUGGCAGCAUAGAUAUUGAGUACGGUUGUAUUGUAUGAGAUGUCUUGUGCAUGAUAGUAGGUUUAUCUGAAUCAUUGAAUAAGGGAUCGUGAUAGUGUUUCCUUGUGCAUGACCGAUUAAUUAUGGAAUUAGUUGUUUGGUUGAUUACGCCCUAAACGUGAAAAGAAGGAAAAAAAAAAAUGGGCGUUACAUGAUCUUUGCACAGCUGCUGGUGUGCAACCAAGGAGGCUAGGUGCAUGGCUAUAACAGGGUUGCCCAAGCAGGGACUGUGCAGGUGUAGGCUUGCCGUUCUUAAUGACUGGCGACUGGAGACUGGCAGCUGAGCAAUUCCUUUUUGUUGCUUCUGGCCAUGAGGUUUUUGCAGCUAGGGCCAGUUAUGAAGGUCAUCUUGUGUUGGAGAUGGUCAGUCUGUGGUGGUUAGCAGUUAGAGAUGUAACACCCAAUAAUUUCUUUUAUUUUUAUUUUUUAUUUUUAAAUAUAGUUAUUUAUUUAUUUAAUUUAUUUAAAAUUAUUUUAUUUUAUUUUAUUUUAAUAAAAAAAGAAUAAAAAAUUUGUUAAGAAUUAAAUUAAAAAAAAAAUUUGGAAAAAAUUGGUGAAAUUUUGAAUUUUGGGAAUAUUUUUGAAAGAAAAAUCGAAAACCAGUAGUCAAAACGCAAUUUAGAAAAAUUGCGCCACGUCAAAUGCUCGAUCAGUAGCCCCGACCAACCAGGACGCGUCAGGUGGCAGAGGCGUUGACGUGAGAGGCCACGUGGGCAAUCCGCGUGCGCGCGAUCGAACGACUGAGGUCCGUUCCCGCGCGCACGGACGACCUAGAUUGAAAUCGCGCGCGGACAGACCAGAUUAAAUCGCGAUGAACAGUGCAGAUUCACUCCCUAUUUAAUCGCGAUCGGACGGUCCAGAUAAAAACGAUGGACGGCCCAGAUCAAAAGUGAAUGGGUAUAAAUAAUCCCAUCUACACCCAAACACAAACCCUAACUGCCAGAAUCUCUCACCGGAGAAGAUAGCCCAACUGCCGGGGAGCCGACAGCCUAGCCUCCACUCGCCGCCGCACCGGAACCUUUUUCGACUGCAAAAAAAGUUAAAAAUUUCUCCUCUUGCACGAAAUUCAAUUUUAAACCCACCCAUGGCCAAAUUGGAAUGAAAGAACCGGCCAAUUGGUUGAAAAAUGCCCACGAAGCCCGGCGGCGCCACCGCAGAAAAUUUCACAAACCACCUCUGAUGAAGCCCUUCCCGAUUCUCGUUUCGCGUAAUUUUUCCACCAUUGUAAUCACCGUUCUCUUCUCUACAGGUUGAUCGGAGCAAAACACCCAACCACAACGCAAGCCGGAGGAGCCGUCGCACCGGAGAGCCCUGUCACCGGUGAGUUUUAGUUUUCUACGUUUUUUUGGCCAACCGAGGGCCUUAAGUGUGUUUUCUCGCAGGAAUUUAUACAAAUUUGGCUGAAAUCGGCUGAAAACAGCCAACUCGAGGCGGAUCACCGCCGCGCGCCAGAGCACGGUGGAACUGCCAUUCCGAAUUUUCAAAAUUGGCUGAGCCCUGGGACUGAUUUUUGGGUUUAUUUGGGACAUUUGUAGGUACCGUAGGCGCAUUUCAGUUCUCGGAAGAAAAUUUAAGAAACCCAAGGACUGCCCGUAGGCGUAGUGAACCAUUUAGCUUUUCGACGUCAAAUCAAGUAAGGGCCCCUUACCCUAUUUCCUAUCAUAAAUUUGAAGUUUGAAUAAAUAAUAAUACGGUCUUUUGUACAAAUUAAAUAUGUGUAUAAUUAAUUACGGAUUGCUAAUGGAGCCUGAAUCGGACAUUAUUUUCUGUUGAUUUCUGUUGAUUUAUUUUACAAUCUAAAAGCAUGAUGGUAUCUGGUUUAUCUUCUUUAUAGUUUAAAUGCAUGUAUUACUGUCUUACUUGAUCACUAUUUGAUUUUGCGAUUUAAGAUAUGAUUGCAUCAUCAUAUGCAUGUUCAUUUGUUUAUGUAUUAUGUUUGAUUUGGUAACGGGAACUAAGGGAAAACAAGAAAUGGGUGUGAUCAAAUAAAACAGAUAAGACGACAGCCUCACUAGAUAUCCUGAGAGAUGGUGGACGGACCGGGUUCAUAUGAAAUUCUACCGUGAACCUUGUCUCAUACCGGACGGGGUAGAGAGACUUGUCAUUUGGGCGCUCAUACCAGACGGAGUAUGGAGACGGUCCACUUCACCCUCAUACCGGAUGGGGUAUUGAGGUUUAAUAUCUUGGUGCACAUACCGGACGGGGUAUGGGGACGGCUCUGUAAUUAAGACUAUUAAAAAAGAUUGUUCACGUGUAGCGAGAACACCCCUAUGGAUCCCCAUGGAUACUAGUGGGUUGGUGAAACGAGAAAUGGUUAUGAUUUAGUUAUUGUUAAUGAAUAUAAAUUUAUGAUAUGUUCUAUGUUACGGAUUGUGCAUGAAAUUAUGAUAUGUAUGAUGUUAUUGUCUCUAUAGGUUAUUUUCAUAAAUUCCACAAUGGUAAGUGAAUUGUAAAUGAUUUUACGAUUGAUAAACAAAUUUGUUAAAUUUAGUGCUCCAUUAGUUGUUUUGAUUUUCUAUCAACCUUUACUUCUGUGCUGGUGUUAUAGUGUGAUAUCCUUACUGAACUAGCGUAACUCACCCCUUAUUUAACCAUUUCAGAUCAAGAGAACCUGAUUUCCGAGUACGAUCCAGUAGAUGCUAGAUACUUUGUAUUUUCUUUUACUUUUCUCAUUUCUUGUGUUUCUUUCAGAGAAUUCAUUCCGUUAUAUUUGUUUAGUACUUUUAAGUUAUUAUGUAAAGGAUGUAAACCUUAACCUUUUAUUUCGCUUCCGCACUUAAAUUAUUAUAUAUUUCUGUUUGGAUUUCCGGGGUCGUUAUAAGAGAAGUGGUGGUUGUGUGACCUAGAUCGGGUUGGAGGCAAACACAUGACAGGGGACAGGUGCGGUUGGACUACAUGACUGCAGGUGCGGCUGGACUGUGCGACAAUAGGACUGGUAGAGGCGAGCCACCAAUCUGAUGGUAUAGGAGGCCGCUGUUGGUUGCAGGAGAAGUCAUCGCAGCUUGUGGCUCUGUUUUCUCUGGUUGAUGUCCAUGAUGAAAGCCCACUUGACUGUUGAAAAUCAUAGGUUGUGGUGGCCAGCUAUAAAAACGUUGGACUCUGAUCUUUAGAGGUUCUCUCAUUUCGGCAAUAAAAACUUAAUAGGGUUUGUAAAAGAGUUUAUGAUUUCUUAACUUAGAGUUCUGAUACUACAUGAAAAAUAGUUAAAUGUGUAUUUUAUUAAAUAUUAUAGUUUUAUAUAUAUAUAUAUAUAUAUAUAUAUAUAAGUUUUCUAAAAUAGAAAAGGAAAUGG